This 466-nucleotide ribosomal RNA is filed under the name Vreelandella stevensii. RNAcentral describes it as "partial 16S ribosomal RNA". It matches the Rfam family "Bacterial small subunit ribosomal RNA", at positions 338 to 795 of the family's 1533-position model. Lineage: Bacteria; Pseudomonadati; Pseudomonadota; Gammaproteobacteria; Oceanospirillales; Halomonadaceae. The record is from RNAcentral.
CCUACGGGAGGCAGCAGUGGGGAAUAUUGGACAAUGGGGGCAACCCUGAUCCAGCCAUGCCGCGUGUGUGAAGAAGGCCCUCGGGUUGUAAAGCACUUUCAGUGAGGAAGAACGCCUGGUGGUUAAUACCCAUCAGGAAAGACAUCACUCACAGAAGAAGCACCGGCUAACUCCGUGCCAGCAGCCGCGGUAAUACGGAGGGUGCGAGCGUUAAUCGGAAUUACUGGGGCGUAAAGCGCGCGUAGGUGGCUUGAUAAGCCGGUUGUGAAAGCCCCGGGCUCAACCUGGGAACGGCAUCCGGAACUGUCAAGCUAGAGUGCAGGAGAGGAAGGUAGAAUUCCCGGUGUAGCGGUGAAAUGCGUAGAGAUCGGGAGGAAUACCAGUGGCGAAGGCGGCCUUCUGGACUGACACUGACACUGAGGUGCGAAAGCGUGGGUAGCAAACAGGAUUAGAUACCCUGGUAGUC